UGGGGAAUAUUGGGCAAUGGGCGAAAGCCUGACCCAGCAACGCCGCGUGAAGGACGAAGGCCUUCGGGUUGUAAACUUCUUUUAAGAGGGACGAAGAAAGUGACGGUACCUCUUGAAUAAGCCACGGCUAACUCCGGUCCAGCCGCCGCGGUAAUACGGAGGAUGCGAGCGUUAUCCGGAUUUAUUGGGUUUAAAGGGUGCGCAGGCGGAAAGUGCAAGUCAGCGGUCAAACGACGGGGCUCAACCCCGUCUCGCCGUUGAAACUGUCUUUCUAGAGUGAGCGAGAAGUAUGCGGAAUGCGUGGUGUAGCGGUGAAAUGCAUAGAUAUCACGCAGAACUCCGAUUGCGAAGGCAGCAUACCGGCGCUCAACUGACGCUCAUGCACGAAAGCGUGGGUAUCGAACAGG
RNAcentral lists this ribosomal RNA (407 nucleotides) under uncultured bacterium. RNAcentral's name for it is "bacterial SSU rRNA". It matches the Rfam family "Bacterial small subunit ribosomal RNA", at positions 355 to 776 of the family's 1533-position model. The record is from RNAcentral.